Molecule: ribosomal RNA, 468 nt
Filed under: uncultured bacterium
Lineage: Bacteria
Description: partial 16S ribosomal RNA
Rfam family: Bacterial small subunit ribosomal RNA
Source: RNAcentral
GACGAACGCUGGCGGCGUGCUUAACACAUGCCAGUCGAACGGAAAGGCCCUGCUUUUGUGGGGUGCUCGAGUGGCGAACGGGUGGGUAACACGUGAGUAACCUGCCCUUGACUUUGGGAUAACUUCAGGAAACUGGGGCUAAUACCGGAUAGGAGCUCCUGCUGCAUGGUGGGGGUUGGAAAGUUUCGGCGGUUGGGGAUGGACUCGCGGCUUAUCAGCUUGUUGGUGGGGUAGUGGCUUACCAAGGCUUUGACGGGUAGCCGGCCUGAGAGGGUGACCGGCCACAUUGGGACUGAGAUACGGCCCAGACUCCUACGGGAGGCAGCAGUGGGGAAUAUUGCACAAUGGGCGGAAGCCUGAUGCAGCAACGCCGCGUGCGGGAUGACGGCCUUCGGGUUGUAAACCGCUUUCGCCUGCGACGAAGCGUGAGUGACGGUAAUGGGUAAAGAAGCACCGGCUAACUACGUG